GUUGAUCCUGGCUCAGGAUGAACGCUAGCGGCAGGCUAACACAUGCAAGUCGAGGGGCAACGCGAGUAGCAAUACUUGGCGGCGACCGGCGCAAGGGUGCGUAACGCGUGAGCAACAUGCCCGUAUCAGGGGGAUAAUCCAGGGAAACUUGGUCUAAUACCCCAUAGUAAUUUUGUAAGGCAUCUUAUAAGAUUUAAAGCUUUGGUGGAUACGGAUUGGCUCGCGUGACAUUAGCUGGAUGGUAAGGUAACGGCUUACCAUGGCUAUGAUGUCUAGGGGUUCUGAGAGGAAGGUCCCCCACACUGGAACUGAGACACGGUCCAGACUCCUACGGGAGGCAGCAGUGAGGAAUAUUGGACAAUGGAUGGAAAUCUGAUCCAGCCAUGCCGCGUGAAAAGGAAGAAGGUCCUAUGGAUUGUAAACUUCUUUUGUAUGGGAGCAAUAAGGCCUACGAGUAGGUUGAUGAGAGUACCAUACGAAUAAGCACCGGCUAACUCCGUGCCAGCCGCCGC
Molecule: ribosomal RNA, 512 nt
Filed under: uncultured bacterium
Lineage: Bacteria
Description: bacterial SSU rRNA
Rfam family: Bacterial small subunit ribosomal RNA
Source: RNAcentral